UGCGUAGGCGGUGACAUCAGUCAGAAGUGAAAGUUGGCAGCUUAACUGCAAAAUUGCUUUUGAUACUGUGUCGCUUGAAUCAAGUUGAGGUUGGCGGAAUGUGACAUGUAGCGGUGAAAUGCUUAGAUAUGUCAUAGAACACCGAUUGCGAAGGCAGCUGACUAGACUUGUAUUGACGCUGAGGCACGAAAGCGUGGGGAGCGAACA
RNAcentral lists this ribosomal RNA (207 nucleotides) under uncultured bacterium. RNAcentral's name for it is "partial 16S ribosomal RNA". It matches the Rfam family "Bacterial small subunit ribosomal RNA", at positions 568 to 774 of the family's 1533-position model. The record is from RNAcentral.